Molecule: ribosomal RNA, 204 nt
Filed under: uncultured bacterium
Lineage: Bacteria
Description: partial 16S ribosomal RNA
Rfam family: Bacterial small subunit ribosomal RNA
Source: RNAcentral
AUCGCAGCCUGCAACCCGGCUGCGUGAAGCUGGAAUCGCUAGUAAUCGCGGAUCAGAAUGCCGCGGUGAAUACGUUCCCGGGUCUUGUACACACCGCCCGUCACACCAUGGGAGCCGGAAACGCCCGAAGCCAGUGGCCUGACCGUAAGGAGGGAGCUGUCGAAGGCGGGUCCGGUGACCGGGGUGAAGUCGUAACAAGGUAAC